Molecule: ribosomal RNA, 253 nt
Filed under: uncultured bacterium
Lineage: Bacteria
Description: partial 16S ribosomal RNA
Rfam family: Bacterial small subunit ribosomal RNA
Source: RNAcentral
UACGAAGGGGGCUAGCGUUGCUCGGAAUCACUGGGCGUAAAGGGUGCGUAGGCGGGUUUUUAAGUCAGGGGUGAAAUCCUGGAGCUCAACUCCAGAACUGCCUUUGAUACUGAAGAUCUUGAGUUCGGGAGAGGGGAGUGGAACUGCGAGUGUAGAGGUGAAAUUCGUAGAUAUUCGCAAGAACACCAGUGGCGAAGGCGGCUCACUGGCCCGAUACUGACGCUGAGGCACGAAAGCGUGGGGAGCAAACAGG